GUGGGGAAUAUUGCGCAAUGGGCGAAAGCCUGACGCAGCGACGCCGCGUGGGGGAUGAAGGCCUUCGGGUUGUAAACCCCUUUCAGCAGGGACGAAGCGAAAGUGACGGUACCUGCAGAAGAAGCGCCGGCUAACUACGU
This 140-nucleotide ribosomal RNA is filed under the name uncultured bacterium. RNAcentral's name for it is "partial 16S ribosomal RNA". It matches the Rfam family "Bacterial small subunit ribosomal RNA", at positions 354 to 506 of the family's 1533-position model. The record is from RNAcentral.